Molecule: ribosomal RNA, 301 nt
Filed under: uncultured bacterium
Lineage: Bacteria
Description: partial 16S ribosomal RNA
Rfam family: Bacterial small subunit ribosomal RNA
Source: RNAcentral
CAGCCGCCGCGGGAAUACGAAGGAUGCAAGCGUUAAUCGGAAUUACUGGGCGUAAAGCGUGCGUAGGCGGUGAGUUAAGUCUGCUGUGAAAUCCCCGGGCUCAACCUGGGAAUGGCAGUGGAUACUGGCUCGCUAGAGUGUGUCAGAGGAUGGUGGAAUUCCCGGUGUAGUGGUGAAAUGCGUAGAGAUCGGGAGGAACAUCAGUGGCGAAGGCGGCCAUCUGGGACAACACUGACGCUGAGGCACGAAAGCGUGGGGAGCAAACAGGAUUAGAGACCCCUGUAGUCCCUGUCUCUUAUAC